GAAGUGUGUGUCUUCUCCUAAUCCUGUUCCUGUAAUCCCAGGCUAUUAUAAGCACUGCCCCUUCUCGCCCUACUUGUUUGCACAACUGUCGUCCCAUGAUCCUUGGGCCGAUGGGCUUCAGCAGCCAGUCGAUAGGUUGUUGGACCCACUGUGUGCCCACCCUGUGCUGGCUGGGGUAGGAUAGAGAUGCCCGUCCUGUGUUCUCAAGGAAUCAGAAGACCAGUAUUUGAGUCUAGCUGGGAAAGGAAGACACGCGUGAGAACCCAGUAGAGAGCAGGAAAGCCAAGCACUUAAGAGGGCGGUUAAGAUUUGGUGGGACGUGCAGCCAGUCCACCGAGUUUGAGUAAGGAAGAGGCAGAUGGUGCCAGGGAAGGACCCAGCCCAGAGCUAGCUGGCCGUCUAAGCUGGAUCUCAGCCAGCCUUGUUCCGAGGUUGUGGCCAAGGUGGGCUUGCUGCUGCCCUCUCCGGGGUCUGUGCCCAUCUCCCAAGUGCUCAUGCUGUUUCCACGGUCUGCAUCUUCCUACUUGUCACGAUUCUCCAACUCAUCCUUCAAGGCCCAGAUUCAGUGCCGCUUUUCCCGUGAAGGCUCUUCCCUUCCACCAGCCAGCAUGGUGCUGAUCUUACAUAGACCUUUGCUGAUGACUCUGUCGUGACAUUGAUUCCAUCUUGUGUAUUCAUGAAUGUUGUGUAGCUUGUCAGGUGCAUGUUUAUGUUUUCCUUGGUUCAACUAGAUUGUGAGCAUCUUGUAAGCAGGGAAUGUGCCUGAUGCAUUUCUCAAACUCCCCGCCAGCAGCCCAGAGCGGUACCCUGUUCAGAAAAUGUCCGCUAAGCAGAUGAGUGAUAGUUUAGCGGAUUCCUUUCUCCCCGGUGGACAGGUUCUAUAAAUUCAGUUCUGUAAAACCAGUUGGGGGAGGUGGCUGCUUUCUGGGGCCAGUUUCUGGCAGGGGACACAUGGUGAAAUGAAAGGUCACUAUAAGCUGGAUGUGUGUGGCCACACAAGAGAUGGGGAAUCCAGUGGUCUCCUGGUCUUGACCUUUCAGGACCAAAGGGACAAGAGGAGGGUACAAGUGGCAAGCGUGCCCUCCUUAGCUUAUAGAAAGAGCCUUGGAAUCAGAAGAGCUGGGGACUAGUUCCGAUCCCAUUUUUGGUGAUGAUAAAUACUUGCCUUAUUGACCUUCUGGGAUUGUUCUGGGAACCAAAUGAGCUCUCCUUUAUUCCUUCUGUGAAGAAACUCUCCAGUCACCAGCUGCUAAGGCCAGCCAGGCAGAGCCUAGCCCGUCUCUGCUGAGUUCCCGUUUAGGCUCAGAGACAAGAACCAACAUGGAAGGAUGUGGUUUUUUGACUUCCAAACCAGGUAACUCUGGAUUUAAUUUAUUUGACAGAGAGAGAAAGAGCACAAGG
Long non-coding RNA from Mustela erminea (ermine), 1401 nucleotides. RefSeq lists it as uncharacterized. The transcript is spliced from 3 exons. The record is from RefSeq and is a predicted model, not a curated record. Lineage: Eukaryota; Metazoa; Chordata; Mammalia; Carnivora; Mustelidae.